GGGGUUGUAUGGUUUUGACAGCUCGUGUGUGGGGACGUAAGCAUGUCGGACGUUGUGAGCAGGUUCCGCAAUAACUAACUCUCAUGCCUAAUAAACGGCGAAAAUACAAAUUUUGCUCUGGCGGCUUAAACAAGGUUUAAGCGCGGGCUGUCUGCCCAAAAGCCUAUCUCUGUGGCGUUUGGAUGCAGGCAUCGAAAAGACGGAGAUAGUUUUAAUAUGCCUUGAUAUUGAAACGAAAAUCUAAAAGGAUAAGUUCUUGUUUUUUGCAUAGCCUUUUGCACGACAAGAAACGAAAAUCUAACAAAGGAUAAACAUGUAGAAAGCGUUUUUGCAGCGCGUUUGGACGAGGGUUCGACUCCCUCCAACUCCACAA
This 373-nucleotide transfer-messenger RNA is filed under the name Bacteroidales bacterium. It matches the Rfam family "transfer-messenger RNA". From Rfam's summary of the family: Bacterial tmRNA, also known as 10Sa RNA or SsrA, is named for its dual tRNA and mRNA-like properties. Its role is to liberate the mRNA from a stalled ribosome. To accomplish this part of the tmRNA is used as a reading frame that ends in a translation stop signal. The record is from RNAcentral. Lineage: Bacteria; Pseudomonadati; Bacteroidota; Bacteroidia; Bacteroidales.